RNAcentral lists this ribosomal RNA (1774 nucleotides) under Capsicum annuum. Its description in RNAcentral is "bacterial SSU rRNA". It matches the Rfam family "Eukaryotic small subunit ribosomal RNA". The record is from RNAcentral. Lineage: Eukaryota; Viridiplantae; Streptophyta; Magnoliopsida; Solanales; Solanaceae.
CCUGGUUGAUUCUGCCAGUCUUCAUAUGUUAGUCUCCUAGAUUAAGCCCUACAUGUGCAAGUAUGAACAAAUUCAGACUGUGAAACUAUGAAUGGCUCAUUAAAUCAGAUAUAGUUUGUUUGAUGGUGUCUACUACUCGGAUAACCUUAGUAAUUCUAGAUCUAAUAUAUUCAAUAAACUCCAACUUCUAUAAAGGAUGUUAUAUUAGAUGAAAGGUUGAUGUGGGAUUUUCUCAUUCCUACGAUGAUUCAGAAUAACUCGACGGAUUGCACGACCAUCGUACCUAUGAUGCAUUAUUCAAAUUUCUUCGUUAUCAGUAUUUGAUGGUAGAAUAGUAGCCUACCAUGGUGGUUAUAGGUGAUGGAGAAUUAGGGUUAGAUUCUGGAGAGUAAGUAUGAGAAAUGGCUACCACAUCUAAGGAAGGAAACAAGCGCACAAAUUACCUAAUCCUUACAAGGGGAGGGAGUGACUAUAAAUAUCAAUACCGGGUUCAAAUAUCAAUUAAUCUAGUAAUUGGAAUGAGUACAAUCUACAUCCUUUAAUGAGGAUCUAAUGGAGGGCAAGUUUGGUGUCAGCAGCCCAAGUAAUUCUAGUUAAAAAGCUUGUAGUUUUACUUUGGGAUGGGCCGACCGGUCAGACUAUGGUGUGCACCAAUUGUCUAGUCCCUUCUGUCGGCAAUGUGCUCCUAGCCUUAACUAGCUGGGUCAUGCCUCCGACACUGAUACUUUGAAGAAAUUAGAGUGUUCAAAGCAAGCCUACAUUUUAUAUACAUUAUCAUGGAAUAACAUUAGAGGAUUUCGGUCCUAUUAUGUUGGCCUUCGGGAUCAGAGUAAUGAUUAACAGGGACAGUCGGGGGAAUUCCUAUUUCAGAGUUAGAGGUAAAAUUCUUGGAUUUAUGAAAGACGAACAACAUAGAAAGCAUUUGCCAAGAGUGUUUUCAUUAAUCAAGAAUGAAAGUUGGGGGCUCGAACAUGAUCAGAUAUUGUCAUAGUCUCAACUAUAAGUAAUGUCGAACAGGGAUCGGAGGAUGUUGCUUUUAGCACUCAGCCAACACCUUAUGAGAAAUCAAAGUUUUUGGGUUCUAGGGGGAGUAUGGUUGCAAGGUUGAAACUUAAAGGAAUUGACAGAAGGGCUCCACCAGGAGUGAAGCCUGCUUCUUAAUUUGACUCAACACGAGGAAAAAUACAAGGUCCAAACAUAGUAAGGAUUGGCAGACUGAGAGCUCUUUUUUUAUUCUAUGGCUGGGGGAGCAUGGCCAUUCUUAAUUAGUAGAGCGAUUUUUCUAGUUAAUUCUGUUAACGUACAAGACCUCAGCCUGUUAACUAGCUAUGCAUAGGUAUCCCUUUGCGACCCACUUCUUAAAUGGACUACGACCUUUUAGUCCGCAGAGGUUCGACGCAAUAAAUGGUCUUUGAUGCCCUUAGAUGCUCUGGGCCGCACGCGCGCUACAUUGAUGUAUUCAAUGAGUUUAUAGCCUUGGCCGAUAGGCCUACGUAAUCUUUUAAAUUUUAUCGUAAUGGGUAUAGAUCAUUACAAUUGUUGGUCCUCAAUGAGGAAUUCCUAGUUAACUCGAGUCAUAAGUUCACGUUAACUACAUCACUCCUCUUUGUACCCACUGCCCAUUGCACCUACCGAUUGAAUGAUCCACUGAAAUAUUUGGAUCGCAAUGAUAUAGGAGGUUUGCUGCCCAUAAAGUUGGGUGAAGUCUAUUGAGUCUUAUUAUUUAGCAGAAGGAGAAUCCAUAACAAGGUUUUCGUAAGGGAACUUGCAGAAG